RNAcentral lists this ribosomal RNA (429 nucleotides) under uncultured bacterium. Its description in RNAcentral is "bacterial SSU rRNA". It matches the Rfam family "Bacterial small subunit ribosomal RNA", at positions 488 to 916 of the family's 1533-position model. The record is from RNAcentral.
AGCACCGGCUAACUCCGUGCCAGCAGCCGCGGUAAUACGGAGGGUGCAAGCGUUGUUCGGAUUCACUGGGUAUAAAGGGUGCGCAGGCGGCCCGAUAAGUCAGGGGUGAAAUAUGACGGCUUAACCGUCAAACUGCCCCUGAAACUGUCAGGCUUGAGUUCGAGAGAGGUAGGUGGAAUUCCAGGUGUAGCGGUGAAAUGCGUAAAUAUCUGGAGGAACACCGGUGGCGAAGGCGGCCUACUGGCUCGAUACUGACGCUCAGGCACGAAAGCAUGGGGAGCGAACGGGAUUAGAUACCCCGGUAGUCCAUGCCGUAAACGAUGGGUACUAGGUGUUGGAGGAUUCUACCCCUUCAGUGCCGCAGCUAACGCAUUAAGUACCCCACCUGGGGAGUACGAUCGCAAGGUUGAAACUCAAAUGAAUUGACGG